GCUGGGCAUGGUGGCGCGUGCCUGUAAUCCCAGCUACUCUGGAGGCUGAGGCGGGAGAAUCGCUUGAACCUGGGAGGCAGAGGUUGCAGUGAGCUGAGAUCGUGCCACUGCACUCCAGCCUGGGUGACAGAGUGAGACUCGUCUUAA
This is an unclassified non-coding RNA of Macaca fascicularis (crab-eating macaque), 147 nucleotides long. It matches the Rfam family "Metazoan signal recognition particle RNA". From Rfam's summary of the family: The signal recognition particle (SRP) is a universally conserved ribonucleoprotein. It is involved in the co-translational targeting of proteins to membranes. The record is from Ensembl. Lineage: Eukaryota; Metazoa; Chordata; Mammalia; Primates; Cercopithecidae.